Molecule: ribosomal RNA, 119 nt
Filed under: Lepisosteus oculatus (spotted gar)
Lineage: Eukaryota; Metazoa; Chordata; Actinopteri; Semionotiformes; Lepisosteidae
Source: RNAcentral
GCCAACAGCCAUAUCACUCUGCAACUCACAACUAGCAACCCACUGAAGCUAAGCAAGUGUGAGCCUAGUCAGUACCUGGAUGGGAGACUUCCUGGGAAAAACUAAGGUUGCUGCUGGAA